Molecule: ribosomal RNA, 938 nt
Filed under: uncultured bacterium
Lineage: Bacteria
Description: bacterial SSU rRNA
Rfam family: Bacterial small subunit ribosomal RNA
Source: RNAcentral
UAGAGUUUGAUCAUGGCUCAGAACGAACGCUGGCGGCGCGUUUUAAGCAUGCAAGUCGGACGGUAGUACAGAGCUUGCUCUGUAUGAGAGUGGCGAACGGGUGAGUAACACGUAGGUGAUCUACCGUAAAGUUGGGGAUAGCCUGUGGAAACACAGGGUAAUACCGGAUAAUCCUUAUUGUUUACGGACGGUAAGGGAAAGGGGCUACGGCCCUGCUUUUCGAAGAGCCUGCGUUCCAUUAGUUAGUUGGCAGGGUAACGGCCUACCAAGGCGACGAUGGAUAGCCGGCCUGAGAGGGUGACCGGCCACACUGGGACUGAGACACGGCCCAGACUCCUACGGGAGGCAGCAGCUAAGAAUCUUCCGCAAUGGGCGAAAGCCUGACGGAGCGACGCCGCGUGGACGAAGAAGGCCGGAAGGUUGUAAAGUCCUUUUCUCGAUGAAGAAUAAGGCAGUGAGGGAAUGCGCUGUCGAUGACAUUAGUUGAGGAAUAAGCCCCGGCUAAUUACGUGCCAGCAGCCGCGGUAACACGUAAGGGGCGAGCGUUGUUCGGAAUUAUUGGGCGUAAAGGGCGUGUAGGCGGCACGAUAAGCCUGGUGUGAAAGGCCGCAGCUCAACUGCGGGAUAGCGCUGGGAACUGUUGUGCUUGAGUUACGGAGGGGGAGCUGGAAUUCCUGGUGUAGGGGUGAAAUCUGUAGAUAUCAGGAAGAACAUCGGUGGCGAAGGCGAGCUCCUGGCCGAUAACUGACGCUGAGGCGCGAAAGUGUGGGGAGCGAACAGGAUUAGAUACCCUGGUAGUCCACACUGUAAACGAUGUGCACUNNGUGUUGGUCCGAGAAGGAUCAGUGCCUGAGCUAACGCGAUAAGUGCACCGCCUGGGGAGUAUGCCUGCAAGGUGAACUCAAAGGAAUUGACGGGGCCCGCACNAGUGGUGGAGC